RNAcentral lists this ribosomal RNA (327 nucleotides) under uncultured eukaryote. RNAcentral describes it as "partial 18S ribosomal RNA". It matches the Rfam family "Eukaryotic small subunit ribosomal RNA", at positions 1470 to 1796 of the family's 1831-position model. The record is from RNAcentral.
CCCUUAGAUGUUCUGGGCCGCACGCGCGCUACACUGACCGGUGCAACGAGUUGUUUGUCCUUUGCUCCGAGAGGCAUGGGGAAUCUUUGAACGCCGGUCGUGCUGGGGAUAGAUUCUUGGAAUUAAAAUCUUCAACGAGGAAUUCCUAGUAAACGCAAGUCAUCAACUUGCAUUGAUUACGUCCCUGCCCUUUGUACACACCGCCCGUCGCACCUACCGAUUGAAUGCUCCGGUGAAACUUUCGGAUUGCGGCGCUGUGCCUUCACGGGCGCACGCUGUGAGAAGUUAUUUAAACCUUAGCAUUUAGAGGAAGGUAAAGUCGUAACA